Molecule: ribosomal RNA, 424 nt
Filed under: uncultured bacterium
Lineage: Bacteria
Description: bacterial SSU rRNA
Rfam family: Bacterial small subunit ribosomal RNA
Source: RNAcentral
GGGGAAUCUUGCGCAAUGGGCGAAAGCCUGACGCAGCGACGCCGCGUGGGUGAUGAAGGCCUUCGGGUUGUAAAGCCCUGUGGGGAGGGAAGAAUAAGUCGUGGCUAAUAUCCACGAUGAUGACGGUACCUCCUUAGCAAGCACCGGCUAACUCUGUGCCAGCAGCCGCGGUAAGACAGAGGGUGCAAACGUUGUUCGGAAUUACUGGGCGUAAAGCGCGUGUAGGCGGCUUGGUAAGUCAGGUGUGAAAGCCCUCGGCUCAACCGGGGAAGUGCACUUGAAACUGCCGAGCUGGAGUCCCGGAGAGGAUGGUGGAAUUCUCGGUGUAGAGGUGAAAUUCGUAGAUAUCGAGAGGAACACCGGUGGCGAAGGCGGCCAUCUGGACGGUGACUGACGCUGAGACGCGAAAGCGUGGGGAGCAAAC